GUUACCUAAAGAGAAUGGCAUAGUUUCAUGAUGGAAUUCUCCUUGUACAUCUCAGCUCAAUAAAGUAUCUGUGAGAAGCAAUGGCACUGUAUGAGAUAUGGUCUAGUCCAUCAUGAAUAUCAUUAAUUUAACUAUUAUUUCUUUAGAAAUAAGAUUUAAAUUUUAAAAUUUAAAUUAGGUUCCAUCUAAAGUUGGUUUCACCACACCAUAUGAGAUAUGAUAUGGCAGAC
This 230-nucleotide long non-coding RNA is filed under the name Elaeis guineensis (African oil palm). RNAcentral's name for it is "long non-coding RNA (EGUI_LNC045126)". The record is from RNAcentral. Lineage: Eukaryota; Viridiplantae; Streptophyta; Magnoliopsida; Arecales; Arecaceae.